GAAGUUCGGAGCUGCAAGAACCCAGCUACUCACUCGCUGAACCCAGGCUGCCUGUGGGACCUUAAGGAAAAACAAUUCUGCGGCCCCACCUAAUCGGGUUGUUUUUGAUCACAUCCUCUAUGACUGUGGCAAUCAACAUGAGUCAGAUUUCAUACAAUCCCUCUCAUCCUCCUCAUCACCGUCAUCAUCAUCACUAUCAUCAGCAUGCAAUCAUGACUACUAUAUCUUAAAAAAUCAAGACUUCCAUAUUCUAUAGAAAAUUUCAAUGUAAAUGAUAGCUUUUUAUUUGUUAGUUUAUUAUUUUUUUUUUGGAUUACUAAUAUAAAAACCAUAUUUUAUUCAGCCACCAGAGGGAGCUCCCAAAUCUAUGGAUUCUAAAAGAAAAUAAGGUUGAAAUACAUUUGGAAAAGUUA
This is a long non-coding RNA of Marmota flaviventris (yellow-bellied marmot), 413 nucleotides long. RefSeq lists it as uncharacterized. Lineage: Eukaryota; Metazoa; Chordata; Mammalia; Rodentia; Sciuridae. The record is from RefSeq and is a predicted model, not a curated record.